This 384-nucleotide ribosomal RNA is filed under the name uncultured prokaryote. RNAcentral's name for it is "bacterial SSU rRNA". It matches the Rfam family "Archaeal small subunit ribosomal RNA", at positions 341 to 725 of the family's 1478-position model. The record is from RNAcentral.
GCGAAAACUUUACAAUGCUGGCAACAGCGAUAAGGGAACCUCGAGUGCCAGGUUACAAAUCUGGCUGUCGAGAUGCCUAAAAAGCAUUUCAUAGCAAGGGCCGGGCAAGACCGGUGCCAGCCGCCGCGGUAACACCGGCGGCUCGAGUGGUAACCGUUAUUAUUGGGUCUAAAGGGUCUGUAGCCGGCCGGAUAAGUCUCUUGAGAAAUCUGGCAGCUUAACUGUCAGGCUUUCAGGAGAUACUGUCUGGCUCGAGGCCGGGAGAGGUGAGAGGUACUUCAGGGGUAGGGGUGAAAUCUUGUAAUCCUUGAAGGACCACCAGUGGCGAAGGCGUCUCACCAGAACGGACCUGACGGCAGGGGACGAAAGCUGGGGGCACGAACC